This 216-nucleotide ribosomal RNA is filed under the name Glomeromycotina sp. RNAcentral's name for it is "partial small subunit ribosomal RNA". The stretch from base 44 to 216 matches the Rfam family "Eukaryotic small subunit ribosomal RNA", at positions 690 to 864 of the family's 1831-position model. Lineage: Eukaryota; Fungi; Glomeromycota. The record is from RNAcentral.
GGGUCAGUAGGUUGGUCGUGCCACCGGUACGUACUGGUCUCGCUGAUUCCUCCUUCCUGAAGAACCGUAAUGCCAUUAAUUUGGUGUUGCGGGGAAACAGGACUGUUACUUUGAAAAAAUUAGAGUGUUUAAAGCAGGCUAACGCUUGAAUACAUUAGCAUGGAAUAAUGAAAUAGGACGAUCGAUCCUAUUUUGUUGGUUUCUAGGAUUGACGUA